GGCAUUCUUUUCCUGUGAAGGUCUUGGGGAUGGCAUCCCCCUUUCACAUAAGAAAACAAGGAGGCAAAAGAGGGCGUGUGGGGUGAUCAAGAAGUCCCUUCAAAAGUUGUACUUUAUUGGCUUUGAUUUUAUUUAACAAUGAAUCGGUUUUAUCCCCACUGUAGGGAAGAAUUCCUUUUGGGUCCUGCAAGUUUGGGAGGAGAGAAGGGUCCUGUGGGAAUGGGGGCAGAAGCCCUUUUGAUAUAUCCUGAAUUGUUGAGGGAAGCGUUCCUAUUUUGUACCCUAGUUGAGACAAGAUGAGACAGAACCUGGACUUGAAGGCGCUAGAAAGAACUGGAAACCCAGGCCAGCCCGCUCUUGCACGGGCAGAGGGGCUUGGAGCUCCCCCUGGUGGCUGAUGGCGAGGCUUCAUCGGAGAAGUUAUUGCAGCCCUUCCGCAGGAGCCUGACGAGCUUUGCCUGCCCUUCCCCUACGGGCCUUUACAUCUGUCGUGCCAACGUGGAGCGGGCUCUCUAGGGCAGAGGAAGAACCCCGCGCUUCCCUAUGAUCGUAUGAAGUGAUGUGUGAAAAAUGCUUUGCAAACCUUGAAUUCCACGUAAAUGCUGUUUUCUGGUUCUGCGUUGUCAGCGCCACAAACUGGCAAAGGCUGAAGACCGAGGCUAGCCUGUUUGUUUUGUCGACUGUCCAGGCUCAGAGUGAUGGAGAAAUGCCGUCGAUGAAGCCCAGACUCAGGCGUUUACCGGCGGAGAAUGCCGCAGCCCUCCUUGGCACCGGCGGACGGUGGGGAACCGGCUAAAAUUCAGAAACUAGAUUAAAACUUCCCAGACCUCGCAGCAUGGCACCCUUCAUCAGACUGUGGGCUCCUUCACUUACUCAGUAAACAUUUAUUAAGCACCUUCGAUGUGCCGGGCACAGUGUUAAGAGGUAAGGAUGCCAAUCGUCCUCCGACGGUGCUCCAGGUGACAAAGGCCCCUCAGCAGGGCAAGCUGAGCCUCCACCUGCUUCCUGUCACUUAUUAUUGCUAGGUGUUGCUAACAUGAGACAAGUCAUGCUACCAAGCCUCAGUUUUCUCAUCUGUCAAAUAGGGACAGCGAUCCCUGUCCUGACUACCUCACAGCAUUGCUGUGGGGGUCAAAUAAGAGAAUGCUGGUAAAACCCUUCACAGACCGUAAAGAGCAGGCCGGGGUGUCACAGAGCACUGGAGCGGGGGUUGAAGUCCUGGGCCUGCAAUUGCCCCUCUCUGUGCCUCAGUUUCCCUAUGCAGAAAUGAAGGCCAUAUUGAUAAUAACAGCGCUAAGGUUCACAGCAUGUUUCAGCUCCAUGAUCUCACUGGCUGCUCACAAUAGCUCUUUGUACGGGUCAGAACUGCCAGUGUGACUGGGGUCUAUUAGACACUUCUGGCCUCCUGGGGCUAUUAUGAGGCCAGGGCUUUGUGAGCCUUGAAGCCCUAGAUACAAGCUCAUUAUGCUUGUGAUUAAUGCACUAAUGCAGUCAGAGGUCCUGGCCUGGAAUUCCAGCACUGCCGUGGACCUCUCCAGGCCUCAGUUUCCUCCUCUGUAAAAGGAAUUGGACAGCCUCAAUGUUCCCUUCCAGUCCUUGACCCAUGACCCAUGACCCUCUUGUGUAGAGCAUAUCCAGUAUCCCAGAGCCGAUCUGGCUACAUCUCCUCCUUGGGGCUCUAGGGGUACCUCUGAGGGGUUGGGGGUGUCUCCCAUCUAGAGCUUGGUAUGAUCCUUGCUGGUGACCUGGCUCAGUUCUAUGGAACCACUCAACAUUAAUUAGCUCUUACUACUGGA
Long non-coding RNA from Phascolarctos cinereus (koala), 1796 nucleotides. The record is from Ensembl. NCBI's taxonomy places the organism in Eukaryota, Metazoa, Chordata, Mammalia, Diprotodontia, Phascolarctidae.